AGAUUGAACGCUGGCGGCAUGGCUAAGACAUGCAAGUCGAACGCGAAAGGGGGCAACCCCGAGUAGAGUGGCGAAAGGGCGAGGAAUACAUUUCUACGUACCUCAAGGUCGAGGAUAAUCAGGGGAAACUCUGACUAAUACUCGAUGACAUGGGUAACCAUCAAAGGCUUGCUGCCUUGAGAGCGGGGAAUGUCCUAUCAGGUAGUUGGUGAGGUAAUGGCUCACCAAGCCGAAGACGGGUAGCGGGUGUGAGAGCACGGCCCGCCGCAUCGGGACUGAGACACUGCCCGGACUCCUACGGGAGCUGCAGUAACGAAUCUUCCGCAAUGCGACGAAAGCGUGACGGGGCAAUGCCGCGUGCAGGAUGAACGCCCCGUUACGGGGG
This 385-nucleotide ribosomal RNA is filed under the name uncultured soil bacterium. Its description in RNAcentral is "bacterial SSU rRNA". It matches the Rfam family "Bacterial small subunit ribosomal RNA", at positions 26 to 425 of the family's 1533-position model. The record is from RNAcentral.